GGAGUAUCGACCCUCUCUGUGCCGAAGCUAACGCUUUAAGUGUCCCGCCUGGGGACUACGGCCGCAAGGCUAAAACUCAAAGGAAUUGACGGGGGCCCGCACAAGCAGCGGAGCGUGUGGUUUAAUUCGAUGCAACACGAAAAACCUUACCAAGGUUUGACAUGUCGGAAGUAUUGAACUGAAAGGGGAACG
Molecule: ribosomal RNA, 192 nt
Filed under: uncultured bacterium
Lineage: Bacteria
Description: partial 16S rRNA
Rfam family: Bacterial small subunit ribosomal RNA
Source: RNAcentral